Molecule: long non-coding RNA, 2104 nt
Organism: Octodon degus (degu)
Lineage: Eukaryota; Metazoa; Chordata; Mammalia; Rodentia; Octodontidae
Exons: 3
Source: RefSeq, a predicted model, not a curated record
GCAGCACCCUGGAGGCCCAGGGCCGGCGGGGCGGCGGCUCAGGGGAUCCCGGGCGCGGCCUACAACUGGGACAAGGAGCAGGAACCCAGGGGUGUACUCCUAACUUCCUGCCUCGGACUUGUUUUCCCAACAAGGAAUGGUGAAAAUGGAACUCAAGGGCUUUACCCGCCACUCUUCACUGGUUUGUUUCCAUGGGGUUGGGGUGCAGGAGGGGCUGGCCUGUGGCUGGGGGGCUAUUUUUAGCGGCAGCAGCAUUCGGGUACAGAGAUAGCUGAGUAACCAGCUCCCAAGCAGAGGAGAGGAGGCGGUGGCUUUUGGGAAGCUCUGCAGACUCUGGGGGCGAGCUGCUCCCCACACUCAAGUGACCCUUCUACCUUUAACUCCUGUCUUUGAAGGGCUGCAGCCCAGAGCUGAUGGAGAUGCGCAGAGGUCUGUUUUGCUCACCGGGGCUGCUCUACCACUCUCAUUCUAGAUACUUGUCCUUGGGCACACGUGGAAACCGCCCCCCCCCAGCAGGCUUCCUCCCCAAUCCAGAAGCCAAAACUGGGGGUUAUGCUGUUCUGUGCCCACACAGCCCUGCCCAGCCUUCUGGAGCACUUGCACCCGAGCAGAGGAGGAUGGAGGAGUGCUGUACUCCCUAGGCAGUGGAGUCCCUUAGCAACUGCAGAUAAAAGUGGUCUCCAUUUCCCCGUGUAGGGGAAUGCCCAGUUCACCAAAUGCCUCGUUCACGCAGUCCCUGUGUGAAGUACAGAUCACCUUCUGGGUUCAUCCUGUCUAGGGGGUUGUUGCCUGCAUCCACAAGAUCGCUCCUGUAAGCCCUACCAGGUGUCCCCUGAUUCACCAUGGUAAUGUUAGUGGCAGCACAGCCCACGCCAACCCUUCCAUGCAGAGACUUAGCAACCAUGCCUGGCAACCAUGGGAGCAGCUCCAGUGGAAGGGAGGGGUACAGGGAGAGGGAACAGUAUGGCAAUGGCUCCUCAGGAAAAAGGGAUAAUUUGCCUCCCCUCAGAGGGAUAGGUAAAAUUAGAAGCCUGUGAGCUCCCAAAUUCAUCCUUUGUUUUUCUCAGUUCUGUCCUCAGACUGCAACUGACUGGCUAGGAAAAAUGUACAUGUAGUCCUUUGGGUAUGGACCCUUCCCUUUAAGGCGCCAGAAGUGUUGUGGAGCUGGGACAGGACUUACUAAAAACAGUGUAAAACCCUGACCUUCUGCUCUCACAUGGGCCCUCAGAGAAACCAUAACCAUCCCUGUCCCCUCUGCUUCCUCCUUCAUUCCAUGUACCUACCGAACUGUACCUACCAACCGCAUGGGUGGCUCUGCUUCAAGAUGCCUCCACCUACCCUGGACCCCACUGGAAUCCUGCAGCUUAUGAAAUCCCUGCCGACUCCUGGACAAAUCCUCCCUCAUGACAGAAUGUGACAUGAGGCGCCUGCCCUUUCCACCACGCACCCACCCACGCUGUCCCUCCUCCAGCUUUGGGAAUGUGCUGGGUAAGCUAGGAGGAGGUAAGCACAGAGACAGGACCCUUAGUGUGUGCAGCAGGGAAAGCUCAGCUCUGACAAGUGCCUGGCUGUGUUCACUAUGUUCCAUCCAGAAGCCUCAUUCGUAGGAACCUGUCUGUGGCUAGAAGUUCAUUAGAAGGUUUGGGCACGAUGGAGGCAGGGAGGCCAUGACACCGCUCUGAAGCUGCUGAAGGCAAUGAGGUGAUACUCAGCUCCCAGCUGAAGGUUUCCACACGGAAUGGCUCUGAUGGUAUGGCCAUGGUCCUGCUGACCCCUACCCCCUACUCUCCAAUUUAUUCUUACCCUGGAGGAAAGGCAGUGGACAAUGAUUAUAAAGCCAGAUACUACCAGCCCAGCAAAAUCCAACCACAGCCCUGCAUUCCCUAAGGCCACCUUUGGGUGGGUGUUCUCUGCCCAAACAGGACCCUGCACCUGUCCUCUGGAGACUGGGGAAGUUUUCCUGUGGCCCAGGCAGAGGAGAAAGCGAGAAAAAGGGAAACUACAAGGACUCCAGCGGAUUUGCCAUGAAAAUAACCUUGGCUCACCACUCUGCCCUCCUCCUCCACCUAGCAUCUUCCUUCAUAUGUACACAGCACAGGAAUCC